This 500-nucleotide ribosomal RNA is filed under the name uncultured bacterium. Its description in RNAcentral is "partial 16S ribosomal RNA". It matches the Rfam family "Bacterial small subunit ribosomal RNA", at positions 30 to 523 of the family's 1533-position model. The record is from RNAcentral.
AUUGAACGCUGGCGGCAUGCCUUACACAUGCAAGUCGAACGGCAGCACGGGAGCAAUCCUGGUGGCGAGUGGCGAACGGGUGAGUAAUAUAUCGGAACGUGCCCAGUCGUGGGGGAUAACGCAGCGAAAGCUGUGCUAAUACCGCAUACGAUCUACGGAUGAAAGCGGGGGAUCGCAAGACCUCGCGCGAUUGGAGCGGCCGAUAUCAGAUUAGCUAGUUGGUGGGGUAAAGGCCCACCAAGGCGACGAUCUGUAGCUGGUCUGAGAGGACGACCAGCCACACUGGAACUGAGACACGGUCCAGACUCCUACGGGAGGCAGCAGUGGGGAAUUUUGGACAAUGGGCGCAAGCCUGAUCCAGCAAUGCCGCGUGCAGGAUGAAGGCCUUCGGGUUGUAAACUGCUUUUGUACGGAACGAAACGGUCCUUUCUAAUACAAGGGGCUAAUGACGGUACCGUAAGAAUAAGCACCGGCUAACUACGUGCCAGCCGCCGCCGUAA